Long non-coding RNA from Panicum virgatum (switchgrass), 783 nucleotides. RefSeq lists it as uncharacterized. The record is from RefSeq and is a predicted model, not a curated record. Lineage: Eukaryota; Viridiplantae; Streptophyta; Magnoliopsida; Poales; Poaceae. The transcript has 2 exons.
AGUGGUACGUGUCUGACAACGAAGAACUCAAGCUAGGACAUUUUGUGUUGAUGAAUGUUUGGUAUGCUGUUAGAAAUGAGCCAAAAUGGGUAACCUACAAUGAUAACCUCCGAAAUGCACGCAAAAGGAAGGGAUCAGACCAUGUGGCUGAAGAGGAUAGGGACGAAGCAGACCCUUUUGAUGUCACUGUAAAACCUAGACCAAUGGGUACAAAAGCAGCAAAGAAGGCAGCACAUGAAGUAAAGGUGCACUCCAUGUCUUCCUCAACAGAAGAUGCAGAUGUUACAAUCCUCAAAGAAGCUCAAGCAAACAGACUAAAGGUACUAGAAGUACAGCAGAAAUUAUCAGCAGAGAGGUUAGAGUCAUCAAAGAUUGCCCAUCUAGCAGCAAAGGAGCACAAAGAGGCCAAACUUGCUGAGAAGGAAGCCAAGACUCUGGAGGUUAAAGCAAAAAUGAUGGAGACAUAUAACUGUCUACUUGCAAAAGAUGUUGGGCUAAUGAACGCUGAGGAAAAGGAUGAUCAUGUUGCAACACUCAAGUACUUGAAGAAGUCAAUAUUUCCUGAUAUGUACUAAGCCAACACCUUCCCCAACUUUGUCAUGGAGUGGGCUGCAUCAUAGAACCAGAGGAGCUGUACUUCAUCAACCAGUUUGAUGAUUAGUUCAGAGCUUAGAAUCAAUUAGCUGUCCUUCAUCUACCUGUGUGAACAUGUGUUUUAUUUUUAUUUUGUUGCCUGCAUGUGUGAACAUGUGUAUGGUCUGAGCGAUGUCAGACUAAAUUGUG